AAUCAACGCUGGCGGCGUGCCUCAGACAUGCAGUCGAACGAUUAAAGCUCUCUUCGGAGAGUGUAUAGAGUGGCGCACGGGUGAGUAACACGUAAGUAAUCUACCUUUGAGUGGGGAAUAACCCGGGGAAACCCGAGCUAAUACCGCAUAAUGCAGCGGCAUCGCAAGAUGACAGUUGUUAAAGGAGCAAUCCGCUUAAAGAGGAGCUUGCGGCAGAUUAGCUAGUUGGUAAGGUAAUGGCUUACCAAGGCUACGAUCUGUAUCCGGUCUAAGAGGACGGUCGGACACACUGACACUGGAUAACGGGUCAGGACUCCUACGGGAGGCAGCAGUCGGGAAUUUUGGGCAAUGGCGAAAGCCUGACCCAGCAACGCCGCGUGAAGGAUGAAGUAUUUCGGUAU
This 401-nucleotide ribosomal RNA is filed under the name uncultured bacterium. RNAcentral's name for it is "bacterial SSU rRNA". It matches the Rfam family "Bacterial small subunit ribosomal RNA", at positions 32 to 424 of the family's 1533-position model. The record is from RNAcentral.